RNAcentral lists this ribosomal RNA (366 nucleotides) under uncultured Streptococcus sp. RNAcentral's name for it is "bacterial SSU rRNA". It matches the Rfam family "Bacterial small subunit ribosomal RNA", at positions 1014 to 1382 of the family's 1533-position model. The record is from RNAcentral. Lineage: Bacteria; Bacillati; Bacillota; Bacilli; Lactobacillales; Streptococcaceae.
GUUACUUCGGUACAUCGGUGACAGGUGGUGCAUGGUUGUCGUCAGCUCGUGUCGUGAGAUGUUGGGUUAAGUCCCGCAACGAGCGCAACCCCUAUUGUUAGUUGCCAUCAUUCAGUUGGGCACUCUAGCGAGACUGCCGGUAAUAAACCGGAGGAAGGUGGGAUGACGUCAAAUCAUCAUGCCCCUUAUGACCUGGGCUACACACGUGCUACAAUGGUUGGUACAACGAGUUGCGAGUCGGUGACGGCGAGCUAAUCUCUUAAAGCCAAUCUCAGUUCGGAUUGUAGGCUGCAACUCGCCUACAUGAAGUCGGAAUCGCUAGUAAUCGCGGAUCAGCACGCCGCGGUGAAUACGUUCCCGGGCCUU